CUUUUUGCGUGGCUUGGAGUUAGUAAUUUCCCCUGAUGGUGGCAUCCUUGGAUCUUGCAUAUUUUUCACCAGCAGUAUCGAUUUGGACAUGUAAGGAGUGGGUGGGUAACCGGAGCUUCAAUUCGUUUCCCUUGUUUUUUCUCGAUUAUGCUUUUCCUUUCUGUAGAGUGGGAGGAGAAGAUGGCGGUAGGGACACGUUUGGGGCGGUGGUGUUAGGGUUAGAGAAUGAGAGGAGACAGACCGAGAGGCUAGAGAAGCGAAAACAGCUUGGAUUUGAUGGCUUCUAUAUGUAUAAAAA
This 298-nucleotide unclassified non-coding RNA is filed under the name Hevea brasiliensis (rubber tree). The record is from RNAcentral. Lineage: Eukaryota; Viridiplantae; Streptophyta; Magnoliopsida; Malpighiales; Euphorbiaceae.